GAUGAACGCUGGCGGCGUGCCUAAUACAUGCAAGUCGAGCGAACGGACGAGAAGCUUGCUUCUCUGAUGUUAGCGGCGGACGGGUGAGUAACACGUGGAUAACCUACCUAUAAGACUGGGAUAACUUCGGGAAACCGGAGCUAAUACCGGAUAAUAUUUUGAACCGCAUGGUUCAAAAGUGAAAGACGGUCUUGCUGUCACUUAUAGAUGGAUCCGCGCUGCAUUAGCUAGUUGGUAAGGUAACGGCUUACCAAGGCAACGACGCAUAGCCGACCUGAGAGGGUGAUCGGCCACACUGGAACUGAGACACGGUCCAGACUCCUACGGGAGGCAGCAGUAGGGAAUCUUCCGCAAUGGGCGAAAGCCUGACGGAGCAACGCCGCGUGAGUGAUGAAGGUCUUCGGAUCGUAAAACUCUGUUAUUAGGGAAGAACAUAUGUGUAAGUAACUGUGCACAUCUUGACGGUACCUAAUCAGAAAGCCACGGCUAACUACGUGCCAGCAGCCGCGGUAAUACGUAGGUGGCAAGCGUUAUCCGGAAUUAUUGGGCGUAAAGCGCGCGUAGGCGGUUUUUUAAGUCUGAUGUGAAAGCCCACGGCUCAACCGUGGAGGGUCAUUGGAAACUGGAAAACUUGAGUGCAGAAGAGGAAAGUGGAAUUCCAUGUGUAGCGGUGAAAUGCGCAGAGAUAUGGAGGAACACCAGUGGCGGAGGCGACUUUCUGGUCUGUAACUGACGCUGAUGUGCGAAAGCGUGGGGAUCAAACAGGAUUAGAUACCCUGGUAGUCCACGCCGUAAACGAUGAGUGCUAAGUGUUAGGGGGUUUCCGCCCCUUAGUGCUGCAGCUAACGCAUUAAGCACUCCGCCUGGGGAGUACGACCGCAAGGUUGAAACUCAAAGGAAUUGACGGGGACCCGCACAAGCGGUGGAGCAUGUGGUUUAAUUCGAAGCAACGCGAAGAACCUUACCAAAUCUUGACAUCCUUUGACAACUCUAGAGAUAGAGCCUUCCCCUUCGGGGGACAAAGUGACAGGUGGUGCAUGGUUGUCGUCAGCUCGUGUCGUGAGAUGUUGGGUUAAGUCCCGCAACGAGCGCAACCCUUAAGCUUAGUUGCCAUCAUUAAGUUGGGCACUCUAAGUUGACUGCCGGUGACAAACCGGAGGAAGGUGGGGAUGACGUCAAAUCAUCAUGCCCCUUAUGAUUUGGGCUACACACGUGCUACAAUGGACAAUACAAAGGGCAGCGAAACCGCGAGGUCAAGCAAAUCCCAUAAAGUUGUUCUCAGUUCGGAUUGUAGUCUGCAACUCGACUACAUGAAGCUGGAAUCGCUAGUAAUCGUAGAUCAGCAUGCUACGGUGAAUACGUUCCCGGGUCU
This 1372-nucleotide ribosomal RNA is filed under the name uncultured bacterium. RNAcentral describes it as "bacterial SSU rRNA". It matches the Rfam family "Bacterial small subunit ribosomal RNA", at positions 28 to 1381 of the family's 1533-position model. The record is from RNAcentral.